UACUAAUAUCUUUUUCUACUCAAUUUUCUGUGCACUCACAGAAGGCAGAAACUGUACCUUUCAUUUCCAUGAUUCUCAUGGAUAAAGCCCUCAAUAAAUGUUUGCCAGAUGAAUGACUUGCCCAAGGUCACACUGCUAAUAUAUGGCAGAACCGGGACCAGAACCAAGACCUCCGACUCCCCAGAUCCCAUAUCCUUGCUGUUCUCCUGGGAUGUUUUCUGGAAGAAAAUGAGCUGUGGGCCUAAAAAGAAGCCAAUCAAGCAUUUGGCAGGCUCAGAUUGGAAAUAUACCAUUAGCUGUCCUGGGCCUCGAGUUUGCCAACCUCAGAUCUUGGGACUUCUCUACCUCCAUAAUCAUUAAACUUUUUUUUUCAGUGCCCUGGAUGUGCCACAUUCCCUCACAACUCCGAACCUUGAAAGUGCUGUUCCUUCAGCUUGGAAGUCUUCCUCACUCCUGACCCGCACCACCUCACCUGGCUAACUCCUAUUUACAUCAGGCUCAGCUCAGAGGUAACCUCUAGAGCACUUUCCAUUAAGGCUGUCGUCUGUGGCAAUUGCCCUCCUAUGUACUUCCAUGUCAUCUUGUAUUAUCCACUCUAUUAUGAUCAUCUGAUUUCACUGUUUAUUUUCUGCGUUCCUCUUCCAUGAGACUGUAUGCCACAGGAAGGCAGGAACAAAGUCCACAUCACUCAUACUGUGUCAUUGUGUUUCCAGUCUUCAGAAAAUACCAAUCAAGAAAUAACUGUCAAAAAUGAAUAGUUUCUUGCCUCCCUCCUCCUGCCCUCUAAGUGCAGACAUUGCUUAAGAUUCAUGUUUUCCAGCUUUGCUCGAUUUCCUUCUUUAUAUUUCAUGGAUUCCUAUUACUUCAGUGAUUGGAUAUGUGUGAAGAAAUCUCCAAUCUACCCCCAAGCUAGAUAGCUCUCAGCUCCCAGACUGCAUUUCCAAUCUCAUGCUAGACAUUCAUGCUUGUAGGUUUUUCCAUCAUCUCAGAUAAAAGAUAUAAAACAUUAAAAGCAUGCAAAGGAUAUAUGUGUAAGGAUGUGCAAUGCAACAUUGUCUAUAAUAUAGAAAAAUUGGAAACAAUCCAAAUGCCCAUCAAAAGAGAAUUGGGUAAAUAAACUGUGUACCACUGUGCAGACUAGAAAGAUUUAUAUAUUGAUGUGAAAAGAUGUCCAUGAUAUACCGUUCAGUAAAAAAGCAGCUUCAUCUGUGUAAAUACAUACAGUGCUCUUUUGAAUAAUUUUCCCUUCCUUUGAUCCCAAAGUCAAUGAUACUCAUUUGUAUGUUGAACAAUGAAUUUUAUAAUGCACACUUCAAAUGAAUGUAUAAGGGAAUUGAAAAAAGUACUAGGUAUUAUCUAUUAAGAGACUCCUGUUAACCACACACACAAAAACAGGUUUCAGAACUAUAGAGUUUAAUUUUAUUCAAUCAUUCAACAUGCAUUUAUUAAGCACCUAUUAUGUGCCAGUUUCUGUUCCAGGUACUGGGGAUAUGCAGAGAGCAAGGCAAAGUCCUUGCUCUCACAGUUUUCUUUUUUUUUUUUUUUGAGACAGAGUU
RNAcentral lists this long non-coding RNA (1556 nucleotides) under Homo sapiens (human). RNAcentral describes it as "HSALNT0377551". The record is from RNAcentral. Lineage: Eukaryota; Metazoa; Chordata; Mammalia; Primates; Hominidae.